Long non-coding RNA from Rhineura floridana, 528 nucleotides. RefSeq lists it as uncharacterized. The record is from RefSeq and is a predicted model, not a curated record. NCBI's taxonomy places the organism in Eukaryota, Metazoa, Chordata, Lepidosauria, Squamata, Rhineuridae. The transcript is spliced from 3 exons.
UAAUUGGGCUUCCGCGACCUCAGCCGGAGAAGGGGGGGAGACGCCUGUGCGAGGGAGCUUGAGGCCAGCUCUUCAAGCUCUCUCCCAGAGAUCGACGACCUCCCCCACAGCACGGGGUCCAUUUAAACGGCUGCUCCGCAGCAGGUGAAGCGGGUUGCGAGAGAGAGAGAGGCAGCGGUGGGCACCCGAAGGAUGCACGGGCCUCCCUGUUUCCUUGGUAGAGUCGAUCCGCACUCAGUCUGACCCAGGACGUCACUCCGCCUGUCUGUUUUCUCAAUGAUAACUUGGCAGGAGAAGGGGGAAGCUGCGAAGUCCCCCCCCUCCCGUCCUUUUUCUCUCCCUCAGAUCAUUACUUGUUCCGACCCGUUGAAAUGAAUAGAAUGGUUCCAAUGUGAAAAUAGUGGCUGAGACCAGAUGAGUUGGAACUUCUGGGACACAAGACUUACCACAGAGUAAUACUGUUUGUAUGGGACAGGUUACAGAUAAAUACAAAACUCAUACAAUUAAUAAAGACUAGAAUUACUCAUA